This 297-nucleotide signal recognition particle RNA is filed under the name Propithecus coquereli (Coquerel's sifaka). RNAcentral describes it as "Metazoan signal recognition particle RNA (ENSPCOG00000002203.1)". It matches the Rfam family "Metazoan signal recognition particle RNA". From Rfam's summary of the family: The signal recognition particle (SRP) is a universally conserved ribonucleoprotein. It is involved in the co-translational targeting of proteins to membranes. The eukaryotic SRP consists of a 300-nucleotide 7S RNA and six proteins: SRPs 72, 68, 54, 19, 14, and 9. Lineage: Eukaryota; Metazoa; Chordata; Mammalia; Primates; Indriidae. The record is from RNAcentral.
UCCAGGCACAGUGGUGCACACCUGUAGUCCCAGCUACGUGGGAGGCUGAGGAGAGAGGAUGGCUUGAGCCCAGGAGCUCUGGGUUGCAGUGUGCUCUGCACAUCAGGUGUCUGCACUAAGUUCAGCAUCAACAUGGUGACCUCCCAGGAGCAGGGGACCACGAGGUUGCCUAAGGAGGAGUGAACAAGCCCAGGUUGGAAAUGGGAGCAGGUCAAAACUCCUGUGACCAGUAGUGGGAUCACACCUGUGAAAAGCCACUGCACUCCAACCUGGGCAACAUAGUGAGAUCCCAUUUCA